Molecule: ribosomal RNA, 593 nt
Filed under: uncultured bacterium
Lineage: Bacteria
Description: bacterial SSU rRNA
Rfam family: Bacterial small subunit ribosomal RNA
Source: RNAcentral
UGGUAGUNCACGCCGUAAACGAUGAGUGCUAGGUGUUAGGCCCUUUCCGGGGCUUAGUGCCGCAGCUAACGCAUUAAGCACUCCGCCUGGGGAGUACGACCGCAAGGUUGAAACUCAAAGGAAUUGACGGGGGCCCGCACAAGCGGUGGAGCAUGUGGUUUAAUUCGAAGCAACGCGAAGAACCUUACCAGGUCUUGACAUCCCGAUGCCCGCUCUAGAGAUAGAGUUUUACUUCGGUACAUCGGUGACAGGUGGUGCAUGGUUGUCGUCAGCUCGUGUCGUGAGAUGUUGGGUUAANNNNNGCAACGAGCGCAACCCUUAUUGUUAGUUGCCAUCAUUUAGUUGGGCACUCUAGCGAGACUGCCGGUAAUAAACCGGAGGAAGAUGGGGAUGACGUCAAAUCAUCAUGCCCCUUAUGACCUGGGCUACACACGUGCUACAAUGGCUGGUACAACGAGUCGCAAGUCGGUGACGGCAAGCUAAUCUCUUAAAGCCAGUCUCAGUUCGGAUUGUAGGCUGCAACUCGCCUACAUGAAGUCGGAAUCGCUAGUAAUCGCGGAUCAGCACGCCGCAGUGAAUACGUUCCCGGGCCU